RNAcentral lists this ribosomal RNA (253 nucleotides) under uncultured bacterium. RNAcentral's name for it is "partial 16S ribosomal RNA". It matches the Rfam family "Bacterial small subunit ribosomal RNA", at positions 524 to 776 of the family's 1533-position model. The record is from RNAcentral.
UACGGGGGGGGCUAGCGUUGUUCGGAAUUACUGGGCGUAAAGGGCUCGUAGGUGGCCAACUAAGUCAUGCGUGAAAUCCCUCGGCUUAACCGGGGAACUGCGUCUGAUACUGGAUGGCUUGAAUCCGGGAGAGGGAUGCGGAAUUCCAGGUGUAGCGGUGAAAUGCGUAGAGAUCCGGAAGAACACCGGUGGCGAAGGCGGCCCGCUGGGCUGUGGCUGACGCUGAGGCGCGACAGCGUGGGGAGCAAACAGG